GACAGAGGAUGCAAGCGUUAUCCGGAAUGAUUGGGCGUAAAGCGUCUGUAGGUGGCUUUUUAAGUCUGCCGUCAAAUCCCAGGGCUUAACCCUGGACAGGCGGUGGAAACUACCAAGCUGGAGUACGGUAGGGGCAGAGGGAAUUUCCGGUGGAGCGGUGAAAUGCGUAGAGAUCGGAAAGAACAUCAGUGGCGAAGGCGGCCUGCUGGGCUGGUUGCUGACGCUGAGGCGCGGACAGCGUGGGGAGCAAACAGG
RNAcentral lists this ribosomal RNA (255 nucleotides) under uncultured bacterium. Its description in RNAcentral is "partial 16S ribosomal RNA". It matches the Rfam family "Bacterial small subunit ribosomal RNA", at positions 524 to 776 of the family's 1533-position model. The record is from RNAcentral.